Molecule: ribosomal RNA, 459 nt
Filed under: uncultured bacterium
Lineage: Bacteria
Description: partial 16S ribosomal RNA
Rfam family: Bacterial small subunit ribosomal RNA
Source: RNAcentral
CCUACGGGAGGCAGCAGUGAGGAAUAUUGGUCAAUGGUCGGGAGACUGAACCAGCCAAGCCGCGUGCGGGAUGAAGGUACAGAGUAUCGUAAACCUCUUUUGUCAGGGAACAAAGGCGGGUACGUGUCCCCGGAUGAGUGUACCUGACGAAAAAGCAUCGGCUAACUCCGUGCCAGCAGCCGCGGUAAUACGGGGGAGGCGAGCGUUAUCCGGAUUUAUGGGGGUUAAAGGGUGCGCAGGCGGUCUGUUAAGUCAGCGGUAAAAGCCCGGGGCUCAACCCCGGCCCGCCGUUGAAACUGGCAGUCUAGAGUUGGAGAGAAGUAGGCAGAAUGCGCGGUGUAGCGGUGAAAUGCAUAGAUAUCGCGCAGAACUCCGAUUGCGAAGGCAGCAUGCCGGCUCCAAACUGACGCUGAGGCACGAAAGCGUGGGUAUCGAACAGGAUUAGAUACCCCAGUAGUC